Molecule: non-coding RNA, 1100 nt
Organism: Microcebus murinus (gray mouse lemur)
Lineage: Eukaryota; Metazoa; Chordata; Mammalia; Primates; Cheirogaleidae
Source: RefSeq, a predicted model, not a curated record
CUGGCCUCAAGUGAUCCUCCUGCCUUGGACUCUCAAAUUAUUUCAAUUACAUUUCUGAAGUGAAGGACAGAUGAAAAGUAACGCAACCAGUUAGUUUCUCAAGAUUACAGGAAUCCUUUGCAGUAAAGUGCAUAUUGCUUCUUUUGGGGUUAUAUUCAAUGAGUCAUGACAUAUUUUUCUCCUUAAGAAGUAUCUUCAUCGCUUAUAAAGGUAUGAUGAGAACAUUGUUUCUAAACACUGGGGCACCUGCAGCCAUCAAAAGAGAGUUUGUUUUGGAAGACAUUGAAAGGAAAGAACAGGUGGAAAAUAAAUGAAGGAUGAACAAAAAUAAUCGAUGCUUGUUGCUGAACAUAGGAAUAAUUAAAACAGCAAACAUGGAUACUUUAACCAACUUGAAAAUCAAACAACUAUGUGAAACAAAUGGUUCCAGACAUUGGACAACAGGAAGUGCAGGAAUCAGAACCCAAAGAGAGGGAAACCAGGUGGUUCCUGGGACCAAUCUUCAUGGAUAUCAAGGGAUGAAUUUAAUUUAUAAACAGAAACAAACAAAAAGCAGACAGCUACUUGCUUGGGAAAUGGAACUUCUACACAAUGUAAAUGACUUCUUCAGGUCUACUUAAACAAAAGUAAUGUGAAACAAAUAAAACAGAGCAGCCCUUUUGGUAAUAUCUUGGAUUUUACCAGAGAAACAUUCAAUCAAUACAAAUAUAUUGGGAGAUUAUCCAGUUGGGCUUCAUAUUAUCAGGUGAGUCCUUAACAAGACUGAUCCCGUUCUGUAGUUAAGGCAUUGAAAGUUGCGAGGGCCUGUGCAGGAGUCCACAUGACUAGGAACCCUGGGCAGCCUGUAGGAAGUGAAAGUGGUCCCUCCCUGUCCAACAGCCAGGAGGAGAACAAUGGCCUUAAACAAUCGUAAGAAAUUUAGUUCUAAAAACCAGAUGAGUUUGAAAGAGGACACUAAGCUCCAGAAAAGAAUGAAGCCAAGGUGACACCUUGAUUUUAGCUUUGUGAAAUUCUGAGUGAAAAACUCAACUCAACUCAGCCAUACCUGGACUUCUAACCUAUAUGAGUUGUACAGUAAUAAAUGGCAUUGUUUUAAGUAA